This 1754-nucleotide long non-coding RNA is filed under the name Homo sapiens (human). Its description in RNAcentral is "HSALNT0330641". The record is from RNAcentral. Lineage: Eukaryota; Metazoa; Chordata; Mammalia; Primates; Hominidae.
GUGGCUUUAGAGUAUCAGAUAAUUUUAAAAAAUGAUAUAAAAUAAUGAAGUGAUUCAUACUCCAGAGAUUCAUCAUCUCCUUUUCUGGGAUAGGGCAUCUGAUGUACAAAUAAGGGCAAAUGACCAGGGGGCACAGAUUGUCAGACCUGAAACAGCAGUGUUCACUGGAGAAGUUUCAGACUGUAGGGGUAGCAGGCACGUGGGCACCUUUGGCCUGUUUAUUCUAGGCCAGCACAGAGUUCUAGCAAAGCCAGACUUCAGAUUGCCUGAGAGGGGCUUUCACCUGCAUAAUUAGGGAUGCUCCAGCCCCUCUCCUAGAGUGGUAAGAGGCCAUGAUACAAUAGCACUAUGACGUGAUGGAAUCUUGGCAGCAGCCCUAGCCCUUACCUAGAGAAUGGCAAAGCUGCAGAAGAAACUGCCAAUGGAGUGCUCAACUCCAGAAGCCUGAAACCUAGGUCGGCUUGGCAAGGUGCCUUGCGCCCCAGUGUCAUGGCUGCGGUGGAGCCGCCCACUUCAAGGGGCCCUGCAGAAUCAGACAGUGAGGAUAGUGGCAGCAAUCACAAUGGGCUGAAGAUUAAAUAACUCUUGUUGACUUUUUCAAGUAUUUAUAAGCUCCCCAGAUUCCCAUGGAAGUCUACAGAAGGACAUAAUGAGAAAAGUAGGUUUAAAGGAAAUAAUGUGAAAUUUCUUCCACACUUGAGUUGGUGAGUUAAACGCCACUUAGUCUAUAUGUGGUUUAAAUGUUGUCCCAUUGCCUCAUUAUGGCCUGAUGUAAAUUCAUAUGAAACUAGGAUAUUUAAAAGCUUAUUGGGAUAGCAAAAUAGAGUUGAUGUAUUCACUGCAAAGAUUAUGGAGACCAUUUAUUGCUCUGAACAUUUCAAUAUGUUGGCUUCUUGAGAUUCCAACCCCAAGGGGACAUGAUAGUGAUGAAGAUGGAGAAAUAGAAGUUUAAACAGCACAAUUUGAAGAGGGGGCAAAAGUAACACUUUGAUGAACCUAGACCAUAUAGACCAGUAUAAGGUCAGCAAAGUCUGGAGGACCAUGUGCUCUCUCCCUAGAUUGGACCAGAAGCCCAGGCUCUACUUUUAGGAAAUGGCUCAGAGAGCGCCCACUGAACUUGUCUCUGAUGUCUUAGGCAGAUCAAAUGCUUCUCUGGUCUCUGCUUUCACAGAUGGAGGAUCAGGGGUGUGUGAGCACCACCCCGCUUGGUCUUGGAGACGGAUCAAAUCCAGACUGGGUCACCAAGGAAGCCAGAGUGGAGGCUGCAGGGAAUAUGGAUUUAAAUGAAUUUUGGCUGUACCAUCAAGCAGUCUGAUCACUGAGGAAAUAUCAAAAGCUUCACCCGAGUGACUCAUCACCCAAAUUCAACAGAGAGACAGAAUGUUAUGAUGGAAAAAGCUCUGGGACCAGCAUGAGGUCUGGAUUGGAGUCCCUGGUGUGGCAUUUAUAAAACGUGAACCCUAGACUGAGACAGGUAAACUUAUUCUGAGUCUCAGUUUCUCCAUCUUUGAGAUGCCCUAAGAGUCUUCCUCAGAGCUCUAGUGAUGAUGUUUAGAGAGUAUCUUAUCCAAUACCUAGUACAUAAUAAGUGCUUAAAUAAUACUAUUAUUAUGACCUUGAUUUCUCCUUGGCACUAACUUGUUGCACCUGCUUCUAGGGUUGCCAACACAGAAAUGUUACCUUGUAGAGGAUUACUUGUGUCGUGCACACACUAGGGGAACUUUUCUGCUCUUUUACUCUCCUCUUUCCCUUUU